This 432-nucleotide ribosomal RNA is filed under the name uncultured bacterium. RNAcentral describes it as "partial 16S ribosomal RNA". It matches the Rfam family "Bacterial small subunit ribosomal RNA", at positions 29 to 507 of the family's 1533-position model. The record is from RNAcentral.
AACGAACGCUGGCGGCAUGCCUAACACAUGCAAGUCGAACGAGACCUUCGGGUCUAGUGGCGCACGGGUGCGUAACGCGUGGGAACCUGCCUUUAGGUUCGGAAUAACUCAGAGAAAUUUGAGCUAAUACCGGAUGAUGUCUUCGGACCAAAGAUUUAUCGCCUUUAGAUGGGCCCGCGUUGGAUUAGCUAGUUGGUGGGGUAAAGGCCUACCAGGCGACGAUCCAUAGCUGGUCUGAGAGGAUGAUCAGCCACACUGGGACUGAGACACGGCCCAGACUCCUACGGGAGGCAGCAGUGGGGAAUAUUGGACAAUGGGCGAAAGCCUGAUCCAGCAAUGCCGCGUGAGUGAUGAAGGCCUUAGGGUUGUAAAGCUCUUUUACCCGAGAUGAUAAUGACAGUAUCGGGAGAAUAAGCUCCGGCUAACUCCGUG